RNA transcript from Gorilla gorilla gorilla (western lowland gorilla), 3989 nucleotides. It is a transcript of the gene named eukaryotic translation initiation factor 3 subunit C, with no coding region annotated. The transcript is spliced from 22 exons. Lineage: Eukaryota; Metazoa; Chordata; Mammalia; Primates; Hominidae. The record is from RefSeq and is a predicted model, not a curated record.
AGUGUAGUUAGUCGGCGCUUCCCGGAAGUGACGCGAGGACCCGCCUUCUCUCUCGGCGUUUCCGCUGUCAGGGCCUUGCGGUGUGACUCGCGGGCUCAGCUGGUCCGGCCGUAGCACCUCCGCGCCGUCGCCAUGUCGCGGUUUUUCACCACCGGUUCGGACAGCGAGUCCGAGUCGUCCCUGUCCGGGGAGGAGCUCGUCACCAAACCUGUCGGAGGCAACUAUGGCAAACAGCCAUUGUUGCUGAGCGAGGAUGAAGAAGAUACCAAGAGAGUUGUCCGCAGUGCCAAGGACAAGAGGUUUGAGGAGCUGACCAACCUUAUCCGGACCAUCCGUAAUGCCAUGAAGAUUCGUGAUGUCACCAAGUGCCUGGAAGAGUUUGAGCUCCUGGGAAAAGCAUAUGGGAAGGCCAAAAGCAUUGUGGACAAAGAAGGUGUCCCUCGGUUCUAUAUCCGCAUCCUGGCUGACCUAGAGGACUAUCUUAAUGAGCUUUGGGAAGAUAAGGAAGGGAAGAAGAAGAUGAACAAGAACAAUGCCAAGGCUCUGAGCACCUUGCGUCAGAAGAUCCGAAAAUACAACCGUGAUUUCGAGUCCCAUAUCACAAGCUACAAGCAGAACCCCGAGCAGUCUGCGGAUGAAGAUGCUGAGAAAAAUGAGGAGGAUUCAGAAGGCUCUUCAGAUGAGGAUGAAGAUGAGGACGGAGUCAGUGCUGCAACUUUCUUGAAGAAGAAAUCAGAAGUUCCUUCUGGGGAGAGUCGCAAGUUCCUCAAAAAGAUGGAUGAUGAAGAUGAGGACUCAGAAGAUUCCGAAGAUGAUGAAGACUGGGACACAGGUUCCACAUCUUCCGAUUCCGACUCAGAGGAGGAAGAAGGGAAACAAACCGCGCUGGCCUCAAGAUUUCUUAAAAAGGCACCCACCACAGAUGAGGACAAGAAGGCAGCCGAGAAGAAACGGGAGGACAAAGCUAAGAAGAAGCAUGACAGGAAAUCCAAGCGCCUGGAUGAGGAGGAGGAGGACAAUGAAGGCGGGGAGUGGGAAAGGGUCCGGGGCGGAGUGCCGUUGGUUAAGGAGAAGCCAAAAAUGUUUGCCAAGGGAACUGAGAUCACCCAUGCUGUUGUUAUCAAGAAACUGAAUGAGAUCCUACAGGCACGAGGCAAGAAGGGAACUGAUCGUGCUGCCCAGAUUGAGCUGCUGCAACUGCUGGUUCAGAUUGCAGCAGAGAACAGCCUGGGAGAGGGCGUCAUUGUCAAGAUCAAGUUCAAUAUCAUCGCCUCUCUCUAUGACUACAACCCCAACCUGGCAACCUACAUGAAGCCAGAGAUGUGGGGGAAGUGCCUGGACUGCAUCAAUGAGCUGAUGGAUAUCCUGUUUGCAAAUCCCAACAUUUUUGUUGGAGAGAAUAUUCUGGAAGAGAGUGAGAACCUGCACAACGCUGACCAGCCACUGCGUGUCCGUGGCUGCAUCCUAACUCUGGUGGAACGAAUGGAUGAAGAAUUUACCAAAAUAAUGCAAAAUACUGACCCUCACUCCCAAGAGUACGUGGAGCACUUGAAGGAUGAGGCCCAGGUGUGUGCCAUCAUCGAGCGUGUGCAGCGCUACCUGGAGGAGAAGGGCACUACCGAGGAGGUCUGCCGCAUCUACCUGCUUCGCAUCCUGCACACCUACUACAAGUUUGAUUACAAGGCCCAUCAGCGGCAGCUGACCCCGCCUGAGGGCUCCUCAAAGUCUGAGCAAGACCAGGCAGAAAAUGAGGGCGAGGACUCGGCUGUGUUGAUGGAGAGACUGUGCAAGUACAUCUACGCCAAGGACCGCACAGACCGGAUCCGCACAUGUGCCAUCCUCUGCCACAUCUACCACCAUGCUCUGCACUCCCGCUGGUACCAGGCCCGCGACCUCAUGCUCAUGAGCCACUUGCAGGACAACAUUCAGCAUGCAGACCCGCCAGUGCAGAUCCUUUACAACCGCACCAUGGUGCAGCUGGGCAUCUGUGCCUUCCGCCAAGGCCUGACCAAGGAUGCACACAACGCCCUGCUGGACAUCCAGUCGAGUGGCCGAGCCAAGGAGCUUCUGGGCCAGGGCCUGCUGCUGCGCAGCCUGCAGGAGCGCAACCAGGAGCAGGAGAAGGUGGAGCGGCGCCGUCAGGUCCCCUUCCACCUGCACAUCAACCUGGAGCUGCUGGAGUGUGUCUACCUGGUGUCUGCCAUGCUCCUGGAGAUCCCCUACAUGGCCGCCCAUGAGAGCGAUGCCCGCCGACGCAUGAUCAGCAAGCAGUUCCACCACCAGCUGCGCGUGGGCGAACGACAGCCCCUGCUGGGUCCCCCUGAGUCCAUGCGGGAACAUGUGGUCGCUGCCUCCAAGGCCAUGAAGAUGGGUGACUGGAAGACCUGUCACAGUUUUAUCAUCAAUGAGAAGAUGAAUGGGAAAGUGUGGGACCUUUUCCCUGAGGCUGACAAAGUCCGCACCAUGCUGGUUAGGAAGAUCCAGGAAGAGUCACUGAGGACCUACCUCUUCACCUACAGCAGUGUCUAUGACUCCAUCAGCAUGGAGACGCUGUCAGACAUGUUUGAGCUGGAUCUGCCCACUGUGCACUCCAUCAUCAGCAAAAUGAUCAUUAAUGAGGAGCUGAUGGCCUCCCUGGACCAGCCAACACAGACAGUGGUGAUGCACCGCACUGAGCCCACUGCCCAGCAGAACCUGGCUCUGCAGCUGGCCGAGAAGCUGGGCAGCCUGGUGGAGAACAACGAACGGGUGUUUGACCACAAGCAGGGCACCUACGGGGGCUACUUCCGAGACCAGAAGGACGGCUACCGCAAAAACGAGGGCUACAUGCGCCGCGGUGGCUACCGCCAGCAGCAGUCUCAGACAGCCUACUGAGCUCUCCACUCUGUUUCCCGCCUAGGCCAUCCAACCUUGAAGUCCUAAACCACACCUCAGUCACUAAAGAUGGAGUCUCACUCUGUGGCCCAGGUUGGAGUGCAGUGGCACAAUCUCGGCUCACUGCAACCUUCGCUUCCCGGGUUCAAGCAGUUCUCCUGCCUCAGCCUCCCUAGUAGCUGGGGAUUACAGGCACCCACCACCAUCCCCAGCUAAUUAUUUGUAUUUUAGUAGAGAGAGGGUUUCACUAUGUUGGCCAGGCUGGUCUAGAACUCCUGACUUCAAGUGAUCUGCCCGCCUUGGCCUCCCAAAGUGCUGGGAUUACAGGCAUGAGCUACCGUGCCUGGUCUACUUUGUUUAUUUUUAAUUUUAAUUAAACAAAUUUUUUUUCUGUGCAGAAGCUUUUUAGCUUGAUGUAAUUCUAUUUAUCAAUUUUUGCUUUGGUUGUCUGUGUUUUUGAAGUCUUACUCAAGAAAUCUUUGCCUAGACAAGUGUUAUAAAGCAUUUCCCCAAUGUUUUCUACUAAUAUUUUCGUAGUUUCUUUUCUUUUCUUUUUUUUUCUUGAGAUGGAGUCUCACUCUGUCACCCAGGCUGGAGUGCAGUGGCGCAAUCUCAGCUCACUGCAACCUCCACCCCUUGGGUUCAAGCAAUUCUUCCGCCUCCCUCCCUAGUAGCUGGGAUUACAGGUGUGCGCUACCACGCCUGGCUAAUUUUUGUAUUUUUAGUAGAGACGGGGUUUCGCCAUGUUGGCCAGGCUGGUCUCGAACGCCUGAGCUCGGGCAAUCCUCCCGCCUCGGCCUGGGCUGGGAUUACAGGUGUGAGCCACAGUGCCCAGCCUGUAGUUUCUUAUAUAUAAGUUUUUAAUUAAUUUUGAUUUGAUUUUUAUAUAUGGUGAAGCACAGGGGUCUAGUUUUAUUCUUCACACAUAGAUAUAUCUCAUUUUCCCAGCACCACUUAUUGAAGACACCAUCUGUUUCCCCAUGGUAUGUUUUUGGUGCCUCGGUGCAAAAUGAGCUGGCUGUAAAUGCAUGGAUUUAUUUCUGGGUUCUCUGUUGUGUUCCACUGGGCCAUGAAAUCCUUCCUUUCCAAUAUUAUAAAGUCACCAUUUUCCUGUU